AGAUGUGAGGGCGAUCUGACUGCGACAUCUGUCACCCCAUUGAUCUCCAGGGUUGACUCAGCUGAUCUGGCUGGCUAGGCGGGUGUCUCCUUCCCUCCCUCAGGGGCUCCAUGCGCAUCCCUCCUGAAGCUGUGCGCUUUCCCCAUCAGAACAGGAUGGCCUUCCCCGAAUAGGGAUGGACCAGUCUUUUUCGGUCGAGGGUAUGCGAGUAGCUUCGCUCCCCUGGUAGAACCUCCAAAAGAAACUUAUAAGGGCAGAACAAUCAAUAAUAAUAGAAAUAAUAAUGAUAAUAAAAAUAAAACAAUAAAAAUAU
RNAcentral lists this small nuclear RNA (313 nucleotides) under Sorex araneus (European shrew). RNAcentral describes it as "7SK RNA (ENSSARG00000017565.1)". It matches the Rfam family "7SK RNA". Rfam says of the family: 7SK was discovered as an abundant small nuclear RNA in the mid-70s but a possible function has only recently been suggested. Lineage: Eukaryota; Metazoa; Chordata; Mammalia; Eulipotyphla; Soricidae. The record is from RNAcentral.